UACGUAGGUGGCAAGCGUUGUCCGGAUUUACUGGGCGUAAAGGGCGCGUAGGCGGCUUGAUAAGUAGGAGGUGAAAUUCCAUGGCUCAACCAUGGAUCGGCCUUCUAGACUGUCAGGCUUGAGCACGGUAGAGGCAGAUGGAAUUCCCGGUGUAGCGGUGGAAUGCGUAGAGAUCGGGAAGAACACCAGUGGCGAAGGCGGUCUGCUGGGCCGUUGCUGACGCUGAGGCGCGACAGCGUGGGGAGCAAACAGG
RNAcentral lists this ribosomal RNA (253 nucleotides) under uncultured bacterium. RNAcentral's name for it is "partial 16S ribosomal RNA". It matches the Rfam family "Bacterial small subunit ribosomal RNA", at positions 524 to 776 of the family's 1533-position model. The record is from RNAcentral.